This 253-nucleotide ribosomal RNA is filed under the name uncultured bacterium. RNAcentral's name for it is "partial 16S ribosomal RNA". It matches the Rfam family "Bacterial small subunit ribosomal RNA", at positions 524 to 776 of the family's 1533-position model. The record is from RNAcentral.
UACGUAGGGCGCAAGCGUUGUCCGGAAUUAUUGGGCGUAAAGGGCGCGUAGGCGGCUUUGCAAGUGGCGGGUGAAAUCCCUCGGCUUAACCGAGGAACUGCCUGUCAGACUGUGAGGCUUGAGACCGGGAGAGGUGAGUGGAAUUCCCAGUGUAGCGGUGAAAUGCGUAGAUAUUGGGAGGAACACCAGAGGCGAAGGCGGCCGGCUGGACCGGACCUGACGCUGAGGCACGAAGGCGUGGGGAGCGAACGGG